AGAGAGGGUUUGUUGAUAUAUUAAUGAAUCCCUGAGAUGACUAGGUGAUAGAGACAGAGAGGGUUUGUAUAUAUAUUAAUGAAUCCCUGAGAUGACUAGGUGAUAGAGACAGAGAGGGUUUGUAUAUAUAUUAAUGAAUCCCUGAGAUGACUAGGUGAUAGAGACAGAGAGGGUUUGUAUAUAUAUUAAUGAAUCCCUGAGAUGACUAGGUGAUAGAGACAGAGAGGGUUUGUAUAUAUAUUAAUGAAUCCCUGAGAUGACUAGGUGAUAGAGACAGAGAGGGGUUUGUUGAUAUAUUAAUGAAUCCCUGAGAUGACUAGGUGAUAGAGACAGAGAGGGGUUUGUUGAUAUAUUAAUGAAUCCCUGAGAUGACUAGGUGAUAGAGACAGAGAGGGUUUGUUGAUAUAUUAAUGAAUCCCUGAGAUGACUAGGUGAUAGAGACAGAGAGGGGUUUGUUGAUAUAUUAAUGAAUCCCUGAGAUGACUAGGUGAUAGAGACAGAGAGGGGUUUGUUGAUAUAUUAAUGAAUCCCUGAGAUGACUAGGUGAUAGAGACAGAGAGGGGUUUGUUGAUAUAUUAAUGAAUCCCUGAGAUGACUAGGUGAUAGAGACAGAGAGGGGUUUGUUGAUAUAUUAAUGAAUCCCUGAGAUGACUAGGUGAUAGAGACAGAGAGGGGUUUGUUGAUAUAUUAAUGAAUC
Oncorhynchus keta (chum salmon) is the source of this 697-nucleotide long non-coding RNA. RefSeq lists it as uncharacterized. The record is from RefSeq and is a predicted model, not a curated record. The transcript is spliced from 4 exons. NCBI's taxonomy places the organism in Eukaryota, Metazoa, Chordata, Actinopteri, Salmoniformes, Salmonidae.